CCUACGGGAGACAGCAGUGAGGAAUAUUGGUCAAUGGGCGCGAGCCUGAACCAGCCAAGUAGCGUGAAUGAUGACUGCCCUACGGGUUGUAAACUUCUUUUAUAUGGGAAUAAAAUGUUCCACGUGUGAGAUUUUGUAUGUACCAUCUGAGUAAGGAUCGGCUAACUCCGUGCCAGCAGCCGCGGUAAUACUGCGUAUCCGAGCGUUAUCCGGAUUUAUUGGGUUUAAAGGGAGCGUAGGUGGAUUGUUAAGUCAGUUGUGAAAGUUUGCGGCUCAACCGUAAAAUUGCAGUUGAAACUGGCAGUCUUGAGUACAGUAGAGGCGGGCGGAAUUCGUGGUGUAGCGGUGAAAUGCGUAGAUAUCACGAAGAACUCCGAUGGCGAAGGCAGCUCACUGGACUGCAACUGACACUGAGGCUCGAAAGUGUGGGUAUCAAACAGGAUUAGAUACCCCUGUAGUC
RNAcentral lists this ribosomal RNA (460 nucleotides) under uncultured bacterium. Its description in RNAcentral is "partial 16S ribosomal RNA". It matches the Rfam family "Bacterial small subunit ribosomal RNA", at positions 338 to 795 of the family's 1533-position model. The record is from RNAcentral.